Molecule: ribosomal RNA, 696 nt
Filed under: Alternaria sp. P9-2-6
Lineage: Eukaryota; Fungi; Ascomycota; Dothideomycetes; Pleosporales; Pleosporaceae
Description: SSU rRNA
Rfam family: Eukaryotic small subunit ribosomal RNA
Source: RNAcentral
CCCUUCGGGGCUUUUUGGUGAUUCAUGAUAACUUUACGGAUCGCAUAGCCUUGCGCUGGCGACGGUUCAUUCAAAUUUCUGCCCUAUCAACUUUCGAUGGUAAGGUAUUGGCUUACCAUGGUUUCAACGGGUAACGGGGAAUUAGGGUUCGAUUCCGGAGAGGGAGCCUGAGAAACGGCUACCACAUCCAAGGAAGGCAGCAGGCGCGCAAAUUACCCAAUCCCGACACGGGGAGGUAGUGACAAUAAAUACUGAUACAGGGCUCUUUUGGGUCUUGUAAUUGGAAUGAGUACAAUUUAAACCUCUUAACGAGGAACAAUUGGAGGGCAAGUCUGGUGCCAGCAGCCGCGGUAAUUCCAGCUCCAAUAGCGUAUAUUAAAGUUGUUGCAGUUAAAAAGCUCGUAGUUGAAACUUGGGCCUGGCUGGCGGGUCCGCCUCACCGCGUGCACUCGUCCGGCCGGGCCUUCCUUCUGAAGAACCUCAUGCCCUUCACUGGGCGUGCUGGGGAAUCAGGACUUUUACUUUGAAAAAAUUAGAGUGUUCAAAGCAGGCCUUUGCUCGAAUACGUUAGCAUGGAAUAAUAAAAUAGGGCGUGCGUUUCUAUUUUGUUGGUUUCUAGAGACGCCGCAAUGAUUAACAGGAACAGUCGGGGGCAUCAGUAUUCAGUUGUCAGAGGUGAAAUUCUUGGAUUUACUG